Molecule: non-coding RNA, 127 nt
Organism: Punica granatum (pomegranate)
Lineage: Eukaryota; Viridiplantae; Streptophyta; Magnoliopsida; Myrtales; Lythraceae
Source: Rfam
GAUGGAUAGUUCCAAAGGGAUCGCAUUGAUCAGAUCGAGCGCAGAUGCUGAAGUGAGCUUCGGUAUCCAGUUUUUCAAUCUCAUAUGCAUGCCCCUCAGAUCAUGCGAUCCCUUUGGAAUUUUCCAU